Non-coding RNA from Elaeis guineensis (African oil palm), 1057 nucleotides. NCBI's taxonomy places the organism in Eukaryota, Viridiplantae, Streptophyta, Magnoliopsida, Arecales, Arecaceae. The record is from RefSeq and is a predicted model, not a curated record.
AAAAAAAAAAAAGAAAAUACCCAACGCGAAACCCCAGCAUCCUCCAUCGUCCAUCCCUGUUCGGCCGCCGCAAGCCUCCAUCCUCCCACCCGAUUGAAAUCAAAAAUAAAAUAAAAGGAAAUAUAGUGCCAUCCUCCCACCCAAUUGAAACCAGAAACAAAAAAAAAAAGGAAAUACCCAACGCGAAACCCCAGCAUCCUCCAUCGUCCACCCCUGUUCGGCCGCCGCAAGCCUCCCACCCGGUUGGGACUUUAGAGGACGGAAAAAGGAAGAGGAAAACAGGGCAUCAACAGACCCUAUUCGGCCACCCCAAGCCUCCCAUCCGGUUGGGACUCCUGAGGACGGAAAAAGGAGAGCAAAAUCGGACGAAAACAGAGGAAAAAUCCACGAAACAGAGGAAAGACAGAAAAAUUUCAGAAAAUAAUGCUCGGCAGAUCGAUAUGUCACAAAGAGUUAUUUGAAUACACUCACAAGAGAAAAGAUGGUACAUUUACAUCUGAGAAAGCAAAGAUAGUGAGUGAGAAAUAUGAUACUAUCAUGCAACAGAAGUAUGGUGAGGACUUAUCUUUCCAUCCUUCUUUAGACGAGGAGGCUUGGCUGGCUGCUGCGGGACCUUCCAAAAAGGGUAGAGUGUUUGGAUUAGAUUAUACCUUAGUUCCUCCAUCUAAAUCUAACAAUCCAUCAUCUCAAAAUAGUAUCAUUGGAUGUGGUGCACAGCCACGUUCGAAUGAUGAGGUGACAAGAGAGAUGUGUCUUAUGUGGGAGAAUAUGGAUAAGUUAAAUCAGAAUAUUCAAGCACAACAAAAUUCAAUAGGUCAGGUUCUUGCACAACAACAAUCUAUAGAUCGGAUUCUUCAUGGCUUGUCUCAAUUGAUACAUCCACAACCACCACCGACAUCAUCCAGAUCAACAAUUGAGAAUUCUCCUAGAUCUUCGGACAUGACUCCGACUAUAGCUCCAUGGCAUUGGUCAUCUGCUUGGGCUCUACUUCGAAGCAACAUGCGUCAGAGGAAGAUAGAAGUGGACAUAGCUGUGGUGGAGGGGAUACAAAUCUAGG